Long non-coding RNA from Chrysolophus pictus (golden pheasant), 726 nucleotides. Lineage: Eukaryota; Metazoa; Chordata; Aves; Galliformes; Phasianidae. The record is from Ensembl.
AUGAGCGCUUCUCCCGCUGCGGCGUUCAGGCCUUGUUUUGUGCACGCACCUCUGCUUCCUGCUGCCCGCAGACCUGCUGGCCGUGCUGAGCUUUCGCCCCACGCGCACAGCGGCUCCGCAGCCGCCUCCCAUCACGCCGGCGCUGCCUGUGCUUCCUUGCAGGAGCAGGGCUGGCUCCUGCUGCCGACACGCGCCAGGGCAGCCAGGGCACCAGCGACUCCGAGGGGGAAGUGUUCUGCGAUACCAUGGAGCAGAUGGAGCCUGAGCAGGCUGGGCAGCUGCUGGCUGAGCGGGGGCUGGUCCCAAAGAGCGUCCCGGCCGGGCGCGUGGCUGGGCGGGCGGCGCGGGGUGAAGGCAGAAGACGGGAGGGGAGCGGCGGUGCCGACCUCGCAGCCCGGGGCUCUGACAGAGUGUCAGGGCUGUGCUGGAUGCUGUACAUCCCUCAGCUGCAGCGGUGCGGCCCCGCCGGCAGCGUCUGCCUCGGUUGGCUUGGAUACGGAUGUGCCAGGUGGGGCCGGGAGCUCCCGUGGGGCCGGCCUCGGUGUCCCUGGAGGUGCUGGCACAGGGGACGGAACCGCCGCAGCCAUCCUGGCGGUUCCCAGCAGGGAUGCAGUGAGGAACAGCCCCGGUGGCUGUACCCAUCCUGCCAGACGUUGGGGUUCUGCUACCCUCCCCAGCCCACGCUCAGCUCCCGCUGAUGUUUCGCAAACCUCCGGGGCUGCUUGA